RNAcentral lists this ribosomal RNA (1404 nucleotides) under Triticum aestivum (bread wheat). RNAcentral describes it as "partial small subunit ribosomal RNA". Lineage: Eukaryota; Viridiplantae; Streptophyta; Magnoliopsida; Poales; Poaceae. The record is from RNAcentral.
AUGGGUGUACGUCGGGAGGUGGAGGUGGUGGAGUCGUGCAUGGUGCCGCCCAUGGAGCAGACGCCUAGCCAGGGCCUCUGGCUCUCCCCGCUCGACCUCGCAAUUGUCAAUAGAGGCCUCAUCCCCACCGUCUACUUCUACAGCUCCAGCUCCGGCGUCGACGAUGACUUCUUCGACGUGGCCAGGCUCAAGGUGGUUCUGGCCAAGGCUCUGGUGCCCUUCUACCCUCUCGCCGGCCGUAUCGGCGUGGACGGCGGCGGUCGAGCGGAGGUGCACUGCGCCGGCCAGGGCGCGCUCUUCGUCGUCGCUCGCUCGGACCUCACCGUCGAUGGCCUCGUCGAUUGCCAGCCGUCGCCGGAACUAAGGAGGCUCUUUGUUCCCCGCUUCGACGACUCGCCGUCCAUCAUGUGCGCCAUUCAGGUGACUUUCAUGGGAUGCGGUGGGGUCAUCCUGGGGACGGCGCUGCACCACGCCGCCGUCGACGCCGCAAGCGUGUUCCACUUCUUCAAGACGUGGUCCACCUUCUCCAGAGACCGUGAUGGGCCCGGGAGUGCGGCGCUCGACCUCCCGUGCCACGACCGUACCCUCCUCCGCGCGCGCACACCGCCCAUGGUCCACCCCGACGCUUUCACUGUGUUCUGCCCGAAGCUAAGCCUAUCCGAGACGUCGGGCAUCGGCCCCGUCGUCAGCGAGAUUUUCGCCGUCUCCAAGGACCAGGUUGCCGCUCUCAAGCGUGCAUGCACCAGCAUGAGCACGUUCGUCGCCGUGAGCGCCCACGUGUGGCGGUCCAUGUGCGCCGCGCGCCGGCUGCCACCGGACGCCACGACGCGGCUCACCUUCCCGGCCAACGUCCGGCGCGUCCUGAGGCCGCCGCUGCCGGCCCGCUACUUCGGGAACGCGGUCAUCACCCUGGGCACCGCCGGCAAGGUCCGGGACAUAGGGUCGGAGGAGCUGGCCUCCGUGGCCGGCCGGAUCAAUGGCGCCGUCCGCCGAAUGGACGACGAGCUCGUGCGCUCGGCGAUCGACUACUUGGAGAUGAACGGCGGCAAGCAGCCGGUCGGCACCCUGCCGGAGACGGAGCUGAGGGUGUUCAGCUGGCUGGGCAUGCCGAUGUACGACGCGGAUUUCGGGUGGGGGAAGCCGCUCGCGAUGCACCGCGCGUUGGAGGAGCGCGGCGGGAUCGUCUGGACGGCCUCAGCGGCGGCGUGCGCAUACCAGCUGAUAGGCUUUCGCUAUGUACCAUUAUCUAUCUUCUUCUCAUUUUUUUUUCUUUUGGGAAACAUUAUUCAUCUUCUUUAUUCGGGAAUGUACCACUAUAUAUCAAUUAUAUCACCUCGCAAAAAAUAUAUAUAUAUCAAUUAUAUCAUUAUUGUGACAGUUAAGAUUUAUGUAAGAAUAUUUUGA